Molecule: long non-coding RNA, 560 nt
Organism: Mercurialis annua (annual mercury)
Lineage: Eukaryota; Viridiplantae; Streptophyta; Magnoliopsida; Malpighiales; Euphorbiaceae
Exons: 2
Source: RefSeq, a predicted model, not a curated record
GAAAUGAAACUAAACCCUAAAACUUAAAAGUAUUAUACGUAUAGGAAUACGAGAUUAACGUCUAAUCAUUAAACGUUAAUUAUUUAUCAGACGUGUCAGCAAGCAGAGAGGUCAGUAGACGUGGGAUAGCGAGGGCAUAUCAUUUCAUCGACCACAUUAUUGAUUGGAUUGCGGUCACUGUACUUAGUAUGUGGACCUAGCUAGAGGCCAAUUUUGAAGUCCAGAAGUCAGUUGUAUAUGUUUAGUAUCUGACUUCUGUGAAUGCUGCAGUAGUGGUCCCGUGUUGACAGAGUCGUAGCCUAGACAACAGUACAUUUUGAGUGUACAUAUUACUUGCUGUCCUGUUUAUAUGUUUUUGUAGGCUACGUGUUUUAUAUGUUGUGCACGGCACCAGAUGCCGGUGAUAUGUUGGAUACACUAACUGAUGGAUAUAGUACCGCGAGGCCAGUUCGUACAGGGUACGGUAACUAGAGCCCGCGAGGUUUUUGAACAGUUAGUGUAAAUGUUUGUGUAUACAUGUUAUGUAUACUUGGCUUCCGUUGUUUACUGUUGUUUGUUUA